This 497-nucleotide ribosomal RNA is filed under the name uncultured bacterium. RNAcentral's name for it is "partial 16S ribosomal RNA". It matches the Rfam family "Bacterial small subunit ribosomal RNA", at positions 28 to 507 of the family's 1533-position model. The record is from RNAcentral.
GAUGAACGCUGGCGGCGUGCCUAAUACAUGCAAGUCGAGCGAACAGACGAGGAACUUGCUCCUCUGACGUUAGCGGCGGACGGGUGAGUAACACGUGGAUAACCUACCUAUAAGACUGGGAUAACUUCGAGAAACCGGAGCUAAUACCGGAUAAUAUAUUGAACCGCAUGGUUCAAUAGUGAAAGACGGUUUUGCUGUCACUUAUAGAUGGAUCCGCGCCGCAUUAGCUAGUUGGUAAGGUAACGGCUUACCAAGGCAACGAUGCGUAGCCGACCUGAGAGGGUGAUCGGCCACACUGGAACUGAGACACGGUCCAGACUCCUACGGGAGGCAGCAGUAGGGAAUCUUCCGCAAUGGGCGAAAGCUUGACGGAGCAACGCCGCGUGAGUGAUGAAGGUCUUCGGAUCGUAAAACUCUGUUAUUAGGGAAGAACAAAUGUGUAAGUAACUAUGCACGUCUUGACGGUACCUAAUCAGAAAGCCACGGCUAACUACGUG